This 1931-nucleotide long non-coding RNA is filed under the name Papio anubis (olive baboon). RNAcentral describes it as "lncRNA (ENSPANG00000048866.1)". The record is from RNAcentral. Lineage: Eukaryota; Metazoa; Chordata; Mammalia; Primates; Cercopithecidae.
GCAGACAGAGAGAAAGAGAGAGAGAGGAAACAGAGAGAGAGAGAGAGAAGAUGGAGGUGCUACACACUUUCAAACAACCAGAUCUUACGAGAAUUCUAUUAUGGCAACAGGAAGAGGAAAGCCCUCACGAUUCAAUCCCCUCCCACUAGGCUGCUCCUUCAACACUAGGAAUUACAAUUUGACAUGAGAUUUGGCUGGGGACACAGAACCAAACCACAUCAUUUGGGAUUCCAGUUUUCUGCCUUGCUGUUGCCACCCUCACCUCUGGGUGCUUCCUCUUAGUAAUUUUUUCUCCUCUGACCCCACCCUGCUCUAUGGUUAUAAAUCCCCUCUUGUCUUAGUUGGAGUCAGAGUGGAGCUUCAAGGGAAUGAAAACAUUUUGCACUAAAAUAAAUUUCUUUGACACAUUUCAAGACAGCUAUUCUGAAAAGCAGGAAAUAUUAGAAAGGCCAAAAACUGUCUGCAGUGGGAAAGACUUGCAUGUGUAGAGAAAAUUUGCACUGACACAGCUGGGCUUUCUCUGAGAAUCUCCCUUGGAUAGGGAAAGAUUAACUGAGAAUCUGAUACCUUUAAAGGUCUAAAGAAAAACAUUUCCCAGCUGUUCUCUCUGAGGGCUGCUUCCUGGGAGAUUUCAUCUAAAUAACAAGACCUCCUUUGCUAGCCAGGCUUGUUCUUCUCUCCAUUCCAUAACCUGUGUUCCACUGGACGAAUUCUCGAGGUGUUUUCCAGAUUGGAGCUCAAGAGAUCUUCCCGGCUCAGCCUGCCAAAGUGCUGGAAUUACUGGUAUGAGUCACCAGGCCUGGCCAUCUGGCUGUUUUUCCUACUUUCUGCCUGUAACUAUUUUUUAGGGUCCUUUUCCACAUGUCUCAUGUUCAGAGUCUCUAAGGCAUAUGGUAUAGCUGAGCUGAUUCACCGCUGUCCUGUACAGAGCACCACGUUGGGGAAAGUUCCUGGUCUGUUAUGCCAUCAUGCAGCCAAAGGAGAGCUGCCUUUGCUCUGGUUUCACAUUCCUGUUUUAAAUAGUCAUGCCUAGAAUUACCUGGCUACAUUAUGACCUUAAUAAAAAAUCUAGUUUGUGAAGUCAUAGACUUUGCUUUUCAUAAAUCUAGAAUCUCUUUGUGUUUGGGAGUCUCACAUUCCAUUAGGGUCCCUCUUUCAGCACCUCACUAAGAGUAUUAAAAUUAAUUAAAAUUUUUGGAUGAACUAGAAUGUUUGUAGAAACCUCUAGCCAUUUUGCUGGUUCAACAGGAUAACCUUUGUUCAACUAAGGAACAUUAGUGUUAGUUUAGUCAUGAGGUUAAUAUUCCCCAUUUUUCCACCUCCCUUCUCCCAACCCAAAAUGUACUAGGCUGAGUGUUAAGGACCAAAUGCUAAUCACUUGGCCAAAGGGUUACUGGUAUCCUCACAAGUCCUAGGUAUUUUUCUCUAAUUGAGAGAAGAGGCUCUGUAUUGAUGCCUGGAUGUGGGAUUUUUAUACCUUCUUGGCAUCCAAGGUUGAAAAAUCAAUGAACGGAGAACGUAUGGAAAAUUCCCUAAAAAAUGAUGGGUCAUGCCAAGACUAUGGGUUUUUCUUUCCUUCUGUUAGUUAUUACAAUGAUUUUCUAGUGUGAAACUUGAGUUCUGCAUUUCUCAGUUUUUCUUGACUCUCAAACUAGCUAAACACUUCAUUCUUCGUUCUUAAGAGAUUGGCAACCAAUCAGUUUGUCCUGUGUGGGAAAUGCAGUGUUUCUCCUUUGGGUGCAUUUUUGAAGACCAAGGCAAAAACAUUACAGUUCAAUUUUAUUGUCUGUGUGGGUAAAACAUUUGAUUUUACUGAACAUGCUCCAUAGUUACAUGGCAGGAUGUUUUGAUUGGCAUAAAAACUAACCAAACUUCUAAAUGUGAAGUAGGUCACCGGAAGAGUACAGGACUCCUUGUGAGUUGUUUUUCUC